This is a non-coding RNA of Nicotiana tabacum (common tobacco), 840 nucleotides long. Lineage: Eukaryota; Viridiplantae; Streptophyta; Magnoliopsida; Solanales; Solanaceae. The record is from RefSeq and is a predicted model, not a curated record.
CAAACUUGUCCGAACUAUGCUCUCGUUGUCUGCGUUGCUUGCUUGCCUCCUGGAAUCAUCAAUCUCUGAUACGGUUCCUAAGAUUCUUUCUCUCGCGCUCAACUGCUUGUGGCGUCUAUCAUUACUUGUGGACUUGACAAAUUCAGUCCAACUUCUGGCGCUCUACAGUUAAUUAAGAGUCUCCCCAAUUUGAGUGAACUUGAGAUUAGGGUCUGUUCUACCAGAGACAAUGCUGAAGCAGUUUCAAAAUAUUUGAGCACACCAUUCUGCUUGGACCGAUCGCUCAACAAGCUCAAACGUGUGGUCAUACAUAGGUUCAUGGGUUCAAAAACUGAAUUUCUUUUUAUAAAGUUAUUGCUUGCUCGCACUCCAUCUUUGGUAAGGAUGAUAGUUAAGCCAUUGAGAGACUUUGUCUGCGGAGAAUGUAAUAUCACCACAAAGUUGACGAGUUUCCCGCGUGCAUCUCCGGAGGCUGAGAUUUUUUAUUCUCCAUACCAAUCUUAAGUUCCAGCCAACAGUUAGGGUUGAUCUCCAGUACAAAGUUUGUAUUUUGACGCCCCCUGCAUUGACACUAUGGGAAAAUAGUCAAGUAAAUGCAUCAGUGGUUGGAAAAAGACUGCCAAAUAUAUAUAGCUCAUCAAAAGUAAGAGAUUUUAUCUAUGUUCCAAAAUGGAACUUACCUUUGAUUUGGAACCUGCCACUUUAAGUUUCUGCUGGUCUGUUUUUUGGUAAAUAGAAUUUAUCUCUCACUUUGACUUGGUAAGAAUUGGAAGUCUGUAUUGCUUUAAUGUGAAACUGCUGCUUUUGAAAUCUAAGUGGAGUCUCAAGUUACUAGCUGUA